UGAGUACGAGAUGCUACGGCAUCGAAGCAGUCUAUGUCAUACUUCCAAGAAAAGCUUGCACUGUCAGAAACAGAUAAUGCCUGUACCAUAACCGACACAGGUGGGUAGGUAGAGUAUACUAAGGGGCGCGAGAUAACUCUCUCUAAGGAACUCGGCAAAAUGACUCCGUAACUUCGGGAGAAGGAGUGCCUUAUUUAUAAGGUUGCAAUAACAAGAUCCAAGCAACUGUUUAUCAAAAACACAGGUCUCCGCUAAGUCGUAAGACGAUGUAUGGGGGCUGACGCCUGCCCAGUGCCAGAAGGUUAAAGAAGUUGGUUAGUGUAUGCGAAGCUGAUGACUGAAGCCCAGGUGAACGGCGGCCGUAACAAUAACGGUCCUAAGGUAGCGAAAUUCCUUGUCGGGUAAGUUCCGACCCGCACGAAAGGCGUAAUGAUUUGGAUACUGUCUCGGAGAGAGGCUCGGUAAAAUAGACUUGUCUGUGAAGAUGCGGACUACCUGCACCAGGACAGAAAGACCCUAUGAAGCUUUACUGUAACUUGAAAUUGGAAUUGGACUUUGCUUGCGCAGUAUAGGUGGGAAGCGUUGAAGAUAUUCUUGCGGGAGUAUUGGAGCUAUCAGUGAGAUACCACUCUUGUAAUGUUAGAUUUCUAACUUUGAACCAUAAUCUGGUCAAAGAACAGUUUCAGGUGGGCAGUUUGACUGGGGCGGUCGCCUCCCAAAUGGUAACGGAGGCGUACAAAGGUUUCCUCUGAACGGAUAGAAAUCGUAUCUAGAGUGUAAAGGCAUAAGGAAGCUUGACUGUGAGACCUACAAGUCGAGCAGGGACGAAAGUCGGUCUUAGUGAUCUGACGGUACUGAGUGGAAAGGCCGUCACUCAACGGAUAAAAGUUACUCUAAGGAUAACAGGCUGAUCUCCCCCAAGAGUUCACAUCGACGGGGAGGUUUGGCACCUCGAUGUCGGCUCAUCGCAUCCUGGGGCGGUAGUACGUCCCAAGGGUUGGGCUGUUCGCCCAUGAAAGCGGUACGCGAGCUGGGUUCAGAACGUCGUGAGACAGUUCGGUCCAUAUCCGGUGUAGGCGUUAGAAUAUUGAGAGGAGCCUUCUUUAGUACGAGAGGACCGAGAAGGACACACCGCUGGUGUACCAGUUAUCGUGCCAACGGUAAACGCUGGGUAGCUAUGUGUGGAGUGGAUAACCGCUGAAAGCAUCUAAGUGGGAAGCCCACCUCAAGAUGAGUAUUCUCAUC
Molecule: ribosomal RNA, 1245 nt
Filed under: metagenome
Description: bacterial LSU rRNA
Rfam family: Bacterial large subunit ribosomal RNA
Source: RNAcentral